RNAcentral lists this non-coding RNA (108 nucleotides) under Cucumis melo (muskmelon). Its description in RNAcentral is "Bacterial large subunit ribosomal RNA". It matches the Rfam family "Bacterial large subunit ribosomal RNA", at positions 457 to 560 of the family's 2925-position model. Lineage: Eukaryota; Viridiplantae; Streptophyta; Magnoliopsida; Cucurbitales; Cucurbitaceae. The record is from Rfam by way of RNAcentral.
CUUGCAAGGCUAAAUACUCCUGGGUGACCGAUAGUGAAGUAGUACCGUGAGGGAAGGGUGAAAAGAACCCCCACUCGGGGAGGGUGAAAUAAGAACAAUGAAACCGUA